This 448-nucleotide long non-coding RNA is filed under the name Gallus gallus (chicken). RNAcentral describes it as "lncRNA (ENSGALG00010002256.1)". Lineage: Eukaryota; Metazoa; Chordata; Aves; Galliformes; Phasianidae. The record is from RNAcentral.
CAAUCUGGUGGAGUAAAGGUCUAAAGAAGCGAGAUUCACAUUUCGAAAACAGGCAUCGCCUUGCCUGGUGAGUUGAAAUUUGGCAUCCUGUGGAGAUCACAGACUCGAGCAAUUGGCAUAGAUGACCACUGGGUGGCACUGAAUGACAAGGCUGAAGAGCCAUUCUCCCACGCACAAAACGAUCUGGUUAUCAGACGUUUUAAAUGCGGUGUUCACCAUGAAGAAACAAAGAAAGGAAGUCAGACCAAUGUAACUGUGUGGACACCCGCUUUGUUAAAAGGAUGGGAAAACCUUCUCCUUGGAGACCUUAGAUGAAAAAUUGAUGGUUGAAAGAUUUCAUAUGGAACAUACAACAAAAACCUCAAGAUCACCUUUUACUCAGUGUGGCACUCAGAACCACUACUACGCCUGAGGGGAACCUCCGCUCAUCCUCUGCCUGAGCCACUGG